CCUGUACUUGGUGUUACUGCGAAGGGGGGACGGAGAAGGCUAUGUUGGCCGGGCGACGGUUGUCCCGGUUUAAGCGUGUAGGCUGGUUUUCCAGGCAAAUCCGGAAAAUCAAGGCUGAGGCGUGAUGACGAGGCACUACGGUGCUGAAGCAACAAAUGCCCUGCUUCCAGGAAAAGCCUCUAAGCAUCAGGUAACAUCAAAUCGUACCCCAAACCGACACAGGUGGUCAGGUAGAGAAUACCAAGGCGCUUGAGAGAACUCGGGUGAAGGAACUAGGCAAAAUGGUGCCGUAACUUCGGGAGAAGGCACGCUGAUAUGUAGGUGAAGUCCCUCGCGGAUGGAGCUGAAAUCAGUCGAAGAUACCAGCUGGCUGCAACUGUUUAUUAAAAACACAGCACUGUGCAAACACGAAAGUGGACGUAUACGGUGUGACGCCUGCCCGGUGCCGGAAGGUUAAUUGAUGGGGUUAGCGCAAGCGAAGCUCUUGAUCGAAGCCCCGGUAAACGGCGGCCGUAACUAUAACGGUCCUAAGGUAGCGAAAUUCCUUGUCGGGUAAGUUCCGACCUGCACGAAUGGCGUAAUGAUGGCCAGGCUGUCUCCACCCGAGACUCAGUGAAAUUGAACUCGCUGUGAAGAUGCAGUGUACCCGCGGCAAGACGGAAAGACCCCGUGAACCUUUACUAUAGCUUGACACUGAACAUUGAGCCUUGAUGUGUAGGAUAGGUGGGAGGCUUUGAAGUGUGGACGCCAGUCUGCAUGGAGCCGACCUUGAAAUACCACCCUUUAAUGUUUGAUGUUCUAACGUUGACCCGUAAUCCGGGUUGCGGACAGUGUCUGGUGGGUAGUUUGACUGGGGCGGUCUCCUCCUAAAGAGUAACGGAGGAGCACGAAGGUUGGCUAAUCCUGGUCGGACAUCAGGAGGUUAGUGCAAUGGCAUAAGCCAGCUUGACUGCGAGCGUGACGGCGCGAGCAGGUGCGAAAGCAGGUCAUAGUGAUCCGGUGGUUCUGAAUGGAAGGGCCAUCGCUCAACGGAUAAAAGGUACUCCGGGGAUAACAGGCUGAUACCGCCCAAGAGUUCAUAUCGACGGCGGUGUUUGGCACCUCGAUGUCGGCUCAUCACAUCCUGGGGCUGAAGUAGGUCCCAAGGGUAUGGCUGUUCGCCAUUUAAAGUGGUACGCGAGCUGGGUUUAGAACGUCGUGAGACAGUUCGGUCCCUAUCUGCCGUGGGCGCUGGAGAACUGAGGGGGGCUGCUCCUAGUACGAGAGGACCGGAGUGGACGCAUCACUGGUGUUCGGGUUGUCAUGCCAAUGGCACUGCCCGGUAGCUAAAUGCGGAAGAGAUAAGUGCUGAAAGCAUCUAAGCACG
Molecule: ribosomal RNA, 1366 nt
Filed under: Escherichia coli
Lineage: Bacteria; Pseudomonadati; Pseudomonadota; Gammaproteobacteria; Enterobacterales; Enterobacteriaceae
Description: partial 23S ribosomal RNA
Rfam family: Bacterial large subunit ribosomal RNA
Source: RNAcentral